RNAcentral lists this ribosomal RNA (374 nucleotides) under uncultured organism. RNAcentral's name for it is "partial 16S ribosomal RNA". It matches the Rfam family "Bacterial small subunit ribosomal RNA", at positions 527 to 896 of the family's 1533-position model. The record is from RNAcentral.
GUAGGUGGCAAGCGUUGUCCGGAAUUAUUGGGCGUGAAGCGCGCGCAGGCGGUCCUUUAAGUCCGAUGUGAAAGCCCACGGCUCAACCGUGGAGGGUCAUUGGAAACUGGGGGACUUGAGUACAGAAGAGGAAAGCGGAAUUCCACGUGUAGCGGUGAAAUGCGUAGAGAUGUGCAGGAACACCAGUGGCGAAGGCGGCUUUCUGGUCUGUAACUGACGCUGAGGCGCGAAAGCGUGGGGAGCAAACAGGGAUUAGAUACCCUGGUAGUCCACGCCGUAAACGAUGAGUGCUAAGUGUUAGGGGGGUUUCCGCCCCCUUAGUGCUGCAGCUAACGCAUUAAGCACUCCGCCUGGGGAGUACGGCCGCAAGGCUG